AAAAAGAUAAGCUAAAAUUAAGCUUAUGGGUUCAUACCCCAUUAAUGAAUAUAAUUCUCUUUUUA
Molecule: transfer RNA, 65 nt
Filed under: Iolania perkinsi
Lineage: Eukaryota; Metazoa; Arthropoda; Insecta; Hemiptera; Cixiidae
Description: tRNA-Met
Source: RNAcentral